Long non-coding RNA from Dendrobium catenatum, 8276 nucleotides. RefSeq lists it as uncharacterized. The transcript has 6 exons. The record is from RefSeq and is a predicted model, not a curated record. Lineage: Eukaryota; Viridiplantae; Streptophyta; Magnoliopsida; Asparagales; Orchidaceae.
AAAUAUUUUCAAAUGGUAUUGUGUUUCGGUACGUGGGGGCCUUUCAUCUCAAAUUCUGACUAUAUGGUGGAUUCAAUGAUGCAAAUUUUGUUAGGAUGUGAUGAAUGAUAAAAUUAUGUUGAAUGCAUUGCAAUCAUGCCUCAUCUCCAUCAUACUAUAGAGUUAGGAGUUAGGAGGUCCCGUUUAUCAAGAUUUGUGCCAUUCAGUACAUUAAAUAAUGUUAUAUUGUAUCUAUUGAGUAAGAAUUUUUUAGGGUGAUGAUGAUGAUUUAGAUUUAGCUAUAUAGAUUCUCAAGGCUGCUAUCAAAUAUCUCUAUAUUUUCUAUGGUAAUGAUGUGGUGUGUUUAGAUGGUCUAGAGCUUCUCUGGCAACCACAUAGCUGCAAUUUCCAUGGGGAUUCCUGCAUAGCUAUUAGUAAAAUGUUUCUGCACGUUUCUUAUUUUGUGACAUCCGCAAUCUUAUGAGCCCUCUUAUUUUUCGUGUAUAAAUCCCUAAUUAUUCUUUCCUUUUUGAAAUGUAGUCAUUUUGGGUUAUGUGUACUACAUAAUGUGCAAUAUAAUAUGCAAAGCAUAUCCACUUUUCUUAUUUCAUGGAUUCUGCUAUCAUAUGUUCCUUAUUCUUUUUUUUUGGAUGAAUUAAGUGGAAAUAAAAUAUUAUUGGGAUUUUUUCAUACAUAACACCUAAAACUAUUGAAAAUACAUAUUUAACUACUAAGCUUCUAUAUUUACUAAUAUACCACCUAAAACACCUCUUUUAAUCAAUUAUAACAUUCCGUUUAAACCUUAUGUAAAAAAUCACUAUCAACGACCGUCUUCCCCAUCAAUAUCCGUUUACAGUGAAUACAAGAAUCUCAUCUCUUCAAUGGAGUGGUAGAAUAGAAGUAAUAGGGUAUUUUAAGUGGUUUUGAUAAGGAAUUGGUUUGACUAGGUAAAUAAGAGUGUAUUUCUCUUUAUGAUUUGAUACCUAAAAUUGAAGUGUGUAGAAUAUUAAGUUUGGUUUAUUCUUUGAUAUUCCUUCAAGCUAAAAAAUAAAAGGUAUUGCUUUUCUACUCAAUUUUCUUCUCAAUCUAAUUAAUGGGCAAGUCUAUUUUUGUUUUUGUUCUUUUAAUAUUUCAAUUUUCCACUUUAUUGUCAUUUCGAGGCACCAUGUGCACUGCAACAUGCUCGACUUUCUUUGAAUGUCCAUUUACAUUCCUUAUCAGGCAGUUGCAGAUAUAUAUUUGUAGCGGAAGGUAUUGUUGUGUGAGCCAACAUGGUGAGUUAUUCAGUAAGUUUUUUGUGUUAUUGUCCAUUUCGAAUCCCCAAUGAUGAGCGCUUAGUUUGUUUAGUAGGUGAAGUUUUGGGUACCCAUUACGAAUAGUCUUAUUCUCAUUGUUUUAAAAGAGCACGGGUUUUUAUGCUUUUUCAUUUCUUGUAUCUUUCAACUACAUUUUUUUAGCUGAUUGAUGUUUGAAGUGAAUUUCAACUAAAAAAGCUUGAUAUUGGCAACUUGGAUGGGACAAUGAGUUGUAAAUCUCAAGCAUUCCAAAAAAUGGGUGAAUGGUAUAAGAUGUGUGAGGAUAAGAGCUACUAUGCUUGUCAAAUGGAUAAUAGUCCCCUUGUCUAUCUUGAUAAGAGCUGCUGUUCUUCUGAAAUAGAUAAUAGUCUAUCACCUAUGUAAGUUUGAGGGCCUCUGUCUUCAUUAUAAUUUUUAUACAUGUGGAUGAAUAGUAAACUUUUUUGUUUUUUUUUUUUGCGUUUUGCCACAGCAAAGCUAAGGAUGAAGUGGGAAUCAGUGUGUUAACUGCUUAAAUUACUGAAAUCCUUCUUGUGAAGAUUUUCUGCAAAGUCCAUUGAAAGCAGGCAAAAAAUGCUAUCAACAUAUUUGAUAACUUGAAUGUUAAAUGAUUUAUUUAUUUACUAGUGUUGCAUCCUGGAAUAUUCACGGUGAUAGAGAAAUAUAAAGUUUAAUCUCUUAGCUUUGUACAAAGAUCUAGCACACAAUGAGAUAAAAGAGAGCGUGCAGCGUUUAUAAUGAACAUCAAAUUUUUUAUGUCAGAACCCCUAAAAAAGGGUAAAAAAACCCAUGGGGCUUUGCCUAGUUUGAAUAAAUCCACUAGUUUUCAGUCAUUUACAGAUGAAGCCCUGGUUUGGGGGGAAGGCCUUGGCUUGAUGUAGCAAAUAUACAUCAUAUAGAGUGCAUUACAUGGUGUGAAUUGGAAGAAUUCGUAUUGACUUAUUUGUUUGGUCGGCAGGACCAUAGUAGGCAGGUGACGGAGGGCGGAAAGAUCUUAGUCGGGUGGCUAGAAAAUUGCAUGAAGUGGCAAGUUUUUUUUUGAGAAAGCUAUAUUUGAAAAUCCUCUUAAUAUCCCCAUUUUCACUGUGAAACAGAGUUAGGUAGGCUUUUUUAUGUGAUGGUCACCAGACUUAUGCCAUAUUCAAAACAUAUUGUAGGGUUUUGUUUUUGUUUAUGAGGAGAUAAUCUUUGUGGGCAGAGAUGAUGAUUUAGGGUUUAGUAAUAUCUCUAGAUUUUUUAGAGCAUUAAUGUGGCAUUUCUGACUGGCUGGGAACUUUUCAGGCCAUAUAAGUGCCAUCACCAGAGUAAUUCAUGCAUAACAAGUCGAAGAAAUCUUCUUUUCGUUUUCUAAAUUUUUUGAUGUUGGAUAUGUAUAUUCAUAAAUUUUGUGAUAUGAAUGUAAUUGAUCUAUCUUAUUUCUUGGAAUUAGUUGUCAUCCACUUGUUCAACGACUCUUCUUCUUCUUCUUCUUUUUAUUUCCUUUUUAUUAUGAAGUCCUUUUAUGUUUUGGGCGCACUAUAAUGAACAGUGUGUUAGCUGUGAAGUUCUAAUCAUUCUUUUAUAUGACUUUUGUUGAUGUAUAUUUGUAGUGGAUAGCCUUCUUGUGGCAUAAGCAUUGCUGCUUGUGUUGUUUUACCAAUUUUUCUUGGUGUUGUGGCUUUUAUCCAGUAUUAAUGAGUAAUACUUACCUUUUUUAGAAAGGUGUUGAUGGAGUUACUGUUUUCCAUCUUUCAGUGAAUCUUCCAUGUCCAAGUUUUCCUUGUCCUCAGUUUGACUAGUUUUUCCAUCAAGGAGUGCUACCUGAAAUCCCAAGAAAAUUGAUGCUACGAUUUUACUUUUCUUGUUUGUAGUUUAAAUUGAGCGGAUGGAGCAAAAACUUCUUCUUGGUUCUCUACCAUGGAUUUUAGCAGAUAAGUUGGUCUUUCUCUCUUUCUCUUGAAACAUUGUGCAUUAACCUCGGUAAUUUCUUCUUCUGUUUCAGUGCAUUAGUUAGAUUUCAAGAUAGGGAUCCAAAUUAGUUUUAAUAUUUCUCUCGUUUAAUAUUCAUUGGUAAUUUUGAUUGCACUGGUCCCAUGCCGUAAUGUAUCUGCAUGAUGGGGAAAUGGGCUUUCCCUCUAGAAAAUAGACUUGAUUUUUACCUAGGUUUUCAGAACAAACAAUGAAUUUUAAAUUGACUCUUGUUUUAAAGUUUCCAACUUUAGAUAAAGCUCAUGGGGUACUGUUCAAUAUGACAGAGGACUUAAAAAGGCAGAUCACAGGUUAAUAAAGCUCGAAUCAAACACAAACCAAACUUGAACAAGCUAAUAAUAAAUGAACUCAAACAUGAACACUCACAUACUCGACUUGGUUCAGUUUGUUUGCAGUCCUAGGUCACUCAUAUUUACCUUGGUUUGCAAAACAAAUAAUGAAUUUUAAGUGGACUCUUGUAUUAAAGUUUCCAACUUUAGAUAAAGCACAUGGGCUCGGUAUCUGUUGGUCAUUUUCAUGAGGUACUGUGCAAUAUGACAGAAGACUUGAAAAGGCAGAUCACAGGUUUAUUUUUCUAUGGUUAAAAUUUGACAUGCUUUUGGAAUAAUUAUUGUCUACCCAUCAAUCAUAAUGGUGAGGCUUUGGGUGAUGAGACAUGUUCUGACUUUUGGCAUUGUUAUUGAUUUGUCUCUGGACGGAGCUUCGUUGGCCAACUCUUCGUAUUCUCUGUCUAUCAAAAGAUGAGGCGUCGAGGAUGGCUUGAAAAACAUUUAAAAUGAUGCAGCUAUUUUAUCUUAUAUUUAUAUCUUCUACCCGAGAGGACCGGAGGAAAUAGUUAAAACAAGAUAAUUAUUUUACAUGGCUGGGUUUCCCUGAACCUCAAUUUAGCUGUUUUUUCGUUGAAGACAUUUGAAAAUUAAAAAAAACAUAAGUUGUUAUUCAAGUAUUAACAAUUCAAUGUUUUAACUUGUUAGGAAGGAGAAUUAUUUGAUUGUUAAGUAAAUCUUAUAUAGAAAUUAAGUUCCAUUUAUUUAUUUAAGUGCCAUUUAUCUGGCUACGUAACACUUUGCAAUUACGUUCUGAUGCUUUGCAUCUGCAUGUUAAAUUGCUUUAUUUGGGAAUGAAUCUCGAGGCAUAUUUAAAUUAGAAUCUUCUGAAAUUAAAUUUGGGACCAUGAUUUCAUCAAGCAUAUAUUUGAACUGAACAUCUCUAUAAGAUGAAUCUUAGGACAUCAAAAUUUGUUCAAUCCCAGCCAAAAUGGGUCUAAGUCUAGGGGUUGAAGCAUAUUUGAAACCUUCAUAUGCCAUAUAGUUUGUGUUCAUUCUGAAUCAUCAAUGAUGAGUUUUAAGUUCGUGUUCUAAUUGCAUGAAGUUGUAUUUACUUUUGAAUUUUCACAAAGAAUACUCUGUAGGGCUCAUUCUGUUGCUUGAAGUUAGAAUAUAUGCUUUCUCUAAAGUGUAAAGUUACACUAAUGAAAUGGUUAUAUUUUGAUUCAUUAAAUAAGUUAAAAUAAGCUUAUCGCUUUUAUCAUGUUCAUAAUCUUGAUUUCUAUGAUUUGUGAGAAGAGAAAAUAACAUUAUCAUGUCUAUGAUGAUCAUUAUCAUUUCUAUGAUGAUCAUUAUCAUGAUUUAUAUUAUGCGGUGCAAGAAGCAUUUUUCAUGACUAUAAUGACUGCAAUUCGGUGCAAGAAGCUUUUUUAUUGAAUUCUUUCUGCAAGGAAUUUAUUAUUAUUAUUAUUUGUUUUGGUGGUGCGUGAGGUGGAUGUUGAUAGGUUAAGGUCUCAUGGUAAUGCCAGAAACUAUAGGAUUUCAAUUGUUAAAGUACUGGUUGACAGCAGUAUGGUUGAGAGUUGCAUUUAGAUAAAAAGUUUCCCUAUGUAGUUUUUCUUGACUAAUUAUUUUGGGUAUUGCUAUAAAUUUUUUUACCAGUCUCAUGAUGAUAGCGGUCAAAUGCUAAUGAUGUUGAUGAUCAUUGGAGGCACUUUUUUUUUUGAAACUCUAAUUCCUAUACAACCGCUUUUAAACAAAUUUAUACACAUCAGCAACAACUCAAUCAAAUAACAAUUUUUAGAAAACUUAUGCAUUAACUACAACCCAAUCAAACAAGGCUAAAGAGACAGAGUCAAAUAGUUGAAUAGUAGCAUAGAUACAUCUAUGCCUAUUCAAUUUCAAGCAGAAUCUCAUUAGCUAAAGGCAUAGGCGUGGCACCAUUCAUUACUGUCCAUCGACACAUCGGACAAAUUGGAUGUUGCCACAUCCAUGUAUCCACGCAUAUGGCAUGAAAUAAAUGUCCGCAAUCUGGUAAAAGCCUCAAUGUCUUAUCCUCUCCUUUCUCAUCAUCAUAGUCGAUAAGGCUCAGUGACGACAGACACAUCCGACAAGUUGGAGGUUACCACAACCAUGGAUCCACACGCAUGGCAUGAAAUAAAUGCCCACAAUCUGGUAAAAGCCUUAAUAUGCCUUACCCUCCCCUUCCUCAUCUUCAUAGUCGGCAUGGCAUUUUGAGCAUUACAUGAUUGGAAUUGAUUGAAUACUUUAGCUGGUAUGGAAAUGCUUGGAAGCCUAAGCUACUUCUUUGGCUGCUGGUAUCAAGUUUGCACUUCAAUUUGUAGAGAGCAGGCGGCAGGGGAGCACCACGGGGAAAAACACAUCAGGUCCCUUUAAUUAUAAAUUCUAUAUGUUGGCGGGGAAGGUUGGUUUUUUCUCUUAUAAUUAUUUGCCAGAACUAAUUUGUUGAUUGCUUUCGUGGCAAUAUUGGAAAUUUGAAGGUUGCAUACGAUAUUAUUUUGAAUGACAUGUGAUUCGGCACCAAAAAUUGUUUUGUUUGGGCACGAAUCUUGAAGCAUAUUUAAAUUAGAAUCUUUUGAAGUUAAAUUCGGGACCAUGCUUUCAUCAAACAUAUAGUUGAAUUGAACAUCUCUAUAAGAUGAAUCCUAGGAUGUCAAAAUUUGUUCAAUCCGAGCCAAAAUGGGUCUAAUUCUAUGGGUUGAAGCAUAUUUGAAAGCUUCAUAAUAUAAAUUCGGAUUUGUGUUCAUUCUGAAUCAUCAAUGAUGAGUGGUUAGUUUGAUUAGAAGAUUAAGUCGUGGGUGCUGAUUGUGAACAUUCUUAUUCUCAUUAUUUUAAAAGAGCAUGGGUUCUUAUCCUUUCAUGUAUUGUAUCUUUGGACUUCUAUUUUUACAUGAUCGAGGUUUGCAGUGGAUUUCAAAUAAAAAAAUUUUAUACUGGAAACUUGGAAGGUACAAUGAGUUGUAAAGCUUAAACAUUUGAAAAAGUGGGUGACUAGUAUAAUAUGUGUGCAGAUAAUAGCUAUUAUUCUUGUAAAAUGAAUAGUAGUCCUAUUGUCUCUCUCUUAGAGCUGUUUUUCUUCUAAAAUAGGUAAUAGUCUAUCACCUAUGUAACUUUGAGGGCCUUUGUAUUCAUUAUAAUUUUUAUGCAUGCAGGUGAAUUUGACUUUUUUCGGAUGACCCGGUUAGGAAAGUUGAGGCGGAAUCUUGGGAUCUUUUGAGAUUAGAAGGGGAAAAGCAAAUUGCAAUAUGAUGCUAAAUUUUAAUGGCGAAAUGCUAAUGAUGAUAAUGAUAGCUGGAGGCACUCCUCUGAGAUGUUCUCAAAGCAAAAUUAGAGUCAUUGGGAUCAUAGAAUGUACUAGCUGUGGAUGGUGAUGAUUUUCUCUAAGCUAAAUGCUAAUGAUGAUGGUGAUCAUUGGAGGUACUCUGAGAUGUUCUCAAAGCAAAAUUAGGACCCCUGGGAAAGAAAUUUUUGGCUGCUUUGUGUUGUCAUUCCUCUCUUUAUAAAGGGUUUGGUGGUGCUUGAAGAGGAUUUUGUUGAUAGUAGCUCUCAUGGCAAGACUCGAAACUUUAGGGCUGCUAAUAUUUAAGGUGCUGGUUGACAACGAAAUAGCCAAGUGUUGCAUGCAUGUAGAAAAAUUUUGCAAUGCAUUUUUCUCAACUAAUUAAUGUGGGCAUUUCUAAGAAUUUUCUUCACGAGCUCAUCAUGACGAUGGCUAAAUGCUUUUGAUGAUACUCACUCAAAAGAAUACUUCACUUAGUCUACCUUGUAUAUACUGUUGUAGUGCUUGAUAAUGUCCAGGAUUCAAAUCUUCUUCUUCUUCUUCUUCUUCUAUGGUAAUCACUUCAGCUAAAUGUAAUUUUUUCCUUGGUCCACUUCUACCAUUGUUUCUUUGACCAGGUACCUAUUAUUGUUGCAUGUUUUGUUAAGAAAGUGAAGUAUUACAUUGUUUCAUUUUCCUAUGCUCAAUUUUAUGUACCGGAGUUGCAAUGGCUAUUGUUUCGUCCUGGAGCAUUCGCGUUGGUAGAGAGAUAUAAUAUUUAACGUCCUUGUUUUGUAUGAAGAGCCAUCUCACAUACAGAUAAUAAAGAGAGAGAUGCAUCAUUCAAAAGAGGCAACCGAAUUUUUUACGUGGAAACCUUUCAAAAGGUGAAAAGAUAUGGGGCAUUGCCUAGUUAAAAUGAUUCCACUAGUGUUUGUCGUUGAUUACUAAUGAUUCUCUUACACGGGGAAUGGCCUUGGGUCAAUGUAGCAAAUAUACAUCAUAUAAAGUGCAUUACAUAGUUGGAGUUGGGAGCAUCCAGAGAUUUGAGAGGCUAUGUUUCGCCAAUACACCUAUUUAUGAAGGCUUGUUGUAUCCGAUACGCCGAUACACGGAUACACCUCUGAUACUCCACCGAUACGUGUCGGAUAUGCCAAAGCCAUAUCCAAUUAAAAUACUAUUUAAUUUCAAAAGGACACGUGUAUUCGAUAUUCGUGUCCAUUGAAAAACAAAAAGUAAUCCGAAAAAAAGAAGAAUCGUGUUUACUUCCGCGGCUGCGAGCAAGGUUCUCUCAUUUUUUUGAUGGAUUUGAGUUUCUUGAUGAUAUGAGAAUAUUAGAAAUUACUAAUCUUUCACUUGAUGAGCCUGAAUUAGAAGCUAUGAUAUUUAUUGAAGAUGAUAUAGAAGUUCAAACUUCAAAGACAAACUACUGAAAAAGUUAAUCAUAUCAUUCCUUUUAUUGAAUAGUUGAAACUUUAUGUGCUAGAA